GAUGAACGCUAGCGGGAGGCCUAACACAUGCAAGCCGAGCGGUAGAGUUUCUUCGGAAACUUGAGAGCGGCGCACGGGUGCGUAACACGUGUGCAACCUACCUUUAUCUGGGGGAUAGCCUUUCGAAAGGAAGAUUAAUACCCCAUAAUAUAAUGCUUGGCAUCCAUUAUUAUUGAUAACUCCGGUGGAUAGAGAUGGGCAGGCGCAAGAUUGGAUAGUUGGUGAGGUAACGGCUCACCAAGUCAAUGAUCUUUAGGGGUCCUGAGAGGGAGAUCCCCCAGACGGGGACUGAGACACGGACCAGACUCCUACGGGAGGCAGCAGUGAGGGAUAUAGGACAAGGGAUGAGAGCCUGAUCCAGCCAUCCCGCGUGAAGGAAGGCGGUGCUAUGGAUGGUAGACUUCUUUUGGACAGGGAUAAACCUACCCGCGUGAGGGUAGCUGAAGGUACUGGACGAAUAAGCACCGGCUAACUCCGUG
RNAcentral lists this ribosomal RNA (479 nucleotides) under uncultured bacterium. Its description in RNAcentral is "partial 16S ribosomal RNA". It matches the Rfam family "Bacterial small subunit ribosomal RNA", at positions 28 to 507 of the family's 1533-position model. The record is from RNAcentral.